Molecule: ribosomal RNA, 469 nt
Filed under: Pseudomonas putida
Lineage: Bacteria; Pseudomonadati; Pseudomonadota; Gammaproteobacteria; Pseudomonadales; Pseudomonadaceae
Description: bacterial SSU rRNA
Rfam family: Bacterial small subunit ribosomal RNA
Source: RNAcentral
UGGAAUUCCCUGUGUAGCGGUGAAAUGCGUAGAUAUGUGAAGGAACACCAGUGGCGAAGGCGACCCCCUGGACUGAUACUGACACUGAGGUGCGAAAGCGUGGGGAGCGAACAGGAUUAGAUACCCUGGUAGUCCACGCCGUAAACGAUGUCUACUAGCCGUUGGAAUCCUUGAGAUUUUAGUGGCGCAACUAACGCAUUAAGUUGACCGCCUGGGGAGUACCGCCGCCAGGAUAAAACUCCAAUGAAUUGACCGGGGCCCGCACAAGCGGUGGAGCAUGUGGUUUAAUUCCAAACAACGCCAAAAACCUUACCAGGGCUUGGCAUGCAGAGGACUUUCCUGAAAUGGAUUGGUGCCUUCCGGAGCUCUGACGCAGGUGCUGCAUGGCUGUCGUCCGCUCGUGUCGUGAGAUGGUGGGUUAAGUCCCGUAACGAGCGCAACCCUUGUCCUUAGUUACCAGGCACGUUAU